RNAcentral lists this transfer RNA (57 nucleotides) under Mustela putorius furo (domestic ferret). It matches the Rfam family "tRNA", at positions 8 to 63 of the family's 71-position model. Rfam says of the family: Transfer RNA (tRNA) molecules are approximately 80 nucleotides in length. Their secondary structure includes four short double-helical elements and three loops (D, anti-codon, and T loops). Lineage: Eukaryota; Metazoa; Chordata; Mammalia; Carnivora; Mustelidae. The record is from Rfam by way of RNAcentral.
UGGCUCAGUCGAUAGAGCAUGGAACUCUUGAUUCUGGGUUGUGAGUUCAAGUCCCAC